Molecule: long non-coding RNA, 623 nt
Organism: Bactrocera latifrons
Lineage: Eukaryota; Metazoa; Arthropoda; Insecta; Diptera; Tephritidae
Exons: 4
Source: RefSeq, a predicted model, not a curated record
AAUGGGUAUAAAAUUAUACAAAUAUUGUAUUUAAAAAAUUUUGGAUUAAAAAUAACUCUUUUACAUUAAUCAAUUGGUUUUAUAUUUCACUCCAAGCUGAAAAGUCUAAACUUCGCAGAAACAUGCUGGAUAUCGGCAAACGAUUAAUCUAGCGCUCUUUGUUCUACCAUAACUGUACGAGCUCUAUAACUGGGAGCGCAACUUUGGCAUUGAUAUGUAUUACAUGAAUUACACUGCCGGUCCAAAGUAUAACUUCAGUGUAUUCAAUUACAAAUAUUACAAUGUGGGCAAUAAAGUCCUAAGAUAGUUUAUAUUGAGUUGGAAUUAUAUGAAAGUGAUAUAGAGCAGGACGGCUGUAAGUUAAUAAACGGCGUGCACAAAAGUCGAUUUUUGAAAAUUAUGGUGAGGAAGAUUAUUUGAGUUGUCAACUUGACGGCGAAGUGUCCGAUUUUAGCAAAUAAACUAUAUAUCGUCAAUAACUACACUUUGGAAGAGGAAUCACUUCCUUCAUUCGUGUCGUCAAUGCACUGGAUAAUUGAAACUAAAUUUGUGCUUAACAAAAACUACGUUGGUAAUAUGAUUCUUCAGGGUAAUUUUUUCAAACUUAAAACGAAUGCCACAAA